GCACUGGUGGUUCAGUGGUAGAAUUCUCACCUUCCAUGUGGGAGACCCAGGUUUGAUUCCUGGCCAAUGAA
Molecule: transfer RNA, 71 nt
Filed under: Loxodonta africana (African savanna elephant)
Lineage: Eukaryota; Metazoa; Chordata; Mammalia; Proboscidea; Elephantidae
Rfam family: tRNA
About the family: Transfer RNA (tRNA) molecules are approximately 80 nucleotides in length. Their secondary structure includes four short double-helical elements and three loops (D, anti-codon, and T loops).
Source: Rfam by way of RNAcentral